AAGUUAUAAGCUAGUUGGUGCU
Molecule: microRNA, 22 nt
Filed under: Mus musculus (house mouse)
Lineage: Eukaryota; Metazoa; Chordata; Mammalia; Rodentia; Muridae
Description: mmu-miR-6374
Source: miRBase by way of RNAcentral